RNAcentral lists this ribosomal RNA (1824 nucleotides) under Triticum aestivum (bread wheat). RNAcentral's name for it is "partial small subunit ribosomal RNA". The record is from RNAcentral. Lineage: Eukaryota; Viridiplantae; Streptophyta; Magnoliopsida; Poales; Poaceae.
CGCUCAGUUAAACUUCCAUGGUUUUGCGUCUGCCACCAUUGUUGCUGUUGAUUAAUCGUUCCGCGAGAGCCACGAAGCGCGAAGCGAAGUUCGUUCGCAAAACUCCAAAUCACCCUCUUUGCCAGGAAAGCUCCGUUUGUUACUAGACUAAUGUAUUUCGUUAUUAUAUACUAAUGGUUAAUGAUCUCUGCAUUUUGUUUCUAGACGCAGGAGCAGCAGUGCUGCAGUUGGUUGGGACGAACACGACCAGGCAGCAAUGGUGGUGUGUGCGUGUCUUUCACAGAGGGGCCAUCAAUCGAUGUUAUCGGAGAGAUUAUUGGAUUGAUCAUAAUUUAUGCUUUCAGUUAAACGAGAGAAGUAAUAGCUUUUCGGAUAGCGCGGCCGAAGACUGAGUUAAGAGAAAUGAAAGAAAAGAGAACGAUCGAGAUGGAAGGGGAAAAAUUGAGCCGAGUGUGGUUCUUCAGUUCUGUCUCUCAUGCCUCGAACGGAAUGUAGGAGACGAGGAGAAGCCAAUGGCGAAAUGGUAAGAAUCGUAAUAGAUUGAAUACCAAUCGAGUACACUUACAACAGCCAGAAACGUCAAAGGAACAACUAGAGGGAAAAUUAAAAGUAGAAACAAGCUCAAGGACACUUUGUCACCUUCUUCAACCUGCACAAGGCGAUGACACGUCGCGAGCCUAGCUCGACGCAGUACCUGCUCCGCAUUGUGGGAGCUAGAGAGUCAUUGUAACUGCGGCCGAGAAGUCGCAUAAAGUUGCCACGAGACACUAUCAACGAUUGUCUGAAGCACGAACAGUCGACCCUGAAGAAGAAUGUGAAGGCUCGAGGAGGAGAUUCAACCUCGCGAUUAUGGCAAAAACGCCAUCGCAACAUCUUAUUGACUAUACCAUUGGCGUCGUAAUGAACGGACGCAUCGACAUGGGUACUUGACGACGGACACCGGUAUGGAUCGCUUGUAACGAGCAAUCGGUGGUGACGCGCCUCUCACUACGAUCAGGUAAAUGGGCCAGGCCCAGCAGGUAGGAACGGGGAGAGACUGGGCAGAAGUGCUCGCAGGCACAUUUCAUUUUCCACUUUUCUCUCUUUUCAGUUUUUUCAAUAUUUGUUGUAUCAAUUUAUAUAUUCUGGACUUUUUUCGGUUGAUUUAUUUUAUUUAAAGGGUUUUUAUCAUUUUUGCCACUAGUUGUGUCCCACUACUCAGUUUUGCCAUUAGAAGUUACAACUACUCAAAAAUGACAUCGAUUCGUGAGAUGUUUGCUCAAAAAUGCCAUCGUUCCGUUAGAUGUUUCCUCAAAAAUGCCAUUAGACAUCGUUAUUUUCACAUCAAACUCAUUGACCAUGUUAUAUAACAAAAAUAAGCCUAGACUCACAUGUCAGUUAUCUCUAUCUCACAAUGAUAAGUGUGGCCCCACUUGUCCGGAGUAACCAAGCGAAUAAUUUUAUAGAAAAAUAAGAACGUCGUUGGGAUCAAGUGGGCCCCACACUUUAUUGUAGUAAGAUAGAAGGAUAGCUGGCAUGCUGGUUCAUAGGUAUUUAUAUCAUUAUAACAUGGCAAAAGAGAUUUGAGAUCACAAUAAUGGUGUCCAGUGGCAUUUUUGAACAUAUGUCUAACACAACGAUGGCAUUUUUGAGCAGUUGAAAUUCCUAGUGGCAAAACUGAGUAGUGGGAGACAACCGAUGGCAUAAAUGAUAAAAACCCUUAUUUAAAAUAUCAGUGAUCCAAAAAUAUUCACAAAUUUGAAGAACGUUCUUGAAUACCAAAAACGUUCAUGAAUAAAAAACAGUUCGUGAAUCAAAUAAAUGUUCAUGAAUUUGAAAAUUUUG